CCUACGGGAGGCAGCAGUGGGGAAUAUUACACAAUGGGGGAAACCCUGAUGCAGCGACGCCGCGUGAGUGAAGAAGUAUUUCGGUAUGUAAAGCUCUAUCAGCAGGGAAGAAAAUGACGGUACCUGAUUCAGAAGCCCCGGCUAACUACGUGCCAGCAGCCGCGGUAAUACGUAGGGGGCAAGCGUUAUCCGGAUUUACUGGGUGUAAAGGGAGCGUAGACGGCAGCACAAGUCUGGAGUGAAAUGCCGGGGCUUAACCCCGGAACUGCUUUGGAAACUGUGCAGCUAGAGUGCAGGAGAGGUAAGUGGAAUUCCUAGUGUAGCGGUGAAAUGCGUAGAUAUUAGGAGGAACACCAGUGGCGAAGGCGGCUUACUGGACUGUAACUGACGUUGAGGCUCGAAAGCGUGGGGAGCAAACAGGAUUAGAUACCCCGGUAGUC
RNAcentral lists this ribosomal RNA (440 nucleotides) under uncultured bacterium. RNAcentral's name for it is "partial 16S ribosomal RNA". It matches the Rfam family "Bacterial small subunit ribosomal RNA", at positions 338 to 795 of the family's 1533-position model. The record is from RNAcentral.